This is a long non-coding RNA of Rhinopithecus roxellana (golden snub-nosed monkey), 616 nucleotides long. RefSeq lists it as uncharacterized. The record is from RefSeq and is a predicted model, not a curated record. The transcript is spliced from 5 exons. Lineage: Eukaryota; Metazoa; Chordata; Mammalia; Primates; Cercopithecidae.
UUUUAAACAGGAAAAACCUCAGCAUGUAAGCAAAGCAGACUGGACUUGAACAGAUACGGAAUGCAAAGCACACAGAAGAGUCAUGGGGGUCCUGAAGAGGGAUUAGAAGUUGUUAUGCGAUGAACAACAUUGCAUUGGAGACAGAAUGGAUUAAAUUAAACAGUAGUGAAUAUCACUUGGCUGAAGUGACAGGAGUAAAGAACAGAAUGCAUCCACUCCUCCAGUCUCAUUAAGCUGCCUCUUUCUCCUGAAAUUAGAUUGGGAUUCCAGGACACCUCUCAACCUACAGGAAACACUGGAUCUAAAGCUGAAACAGGCUUUUAAAAAGAUUUGCACAAUACAUCCUUCAUAUUGUUAUUUUUAUCUCUGUAAGUUUGUAAUGGCCUCUAAAAAAAAAAAAGCUGUGUAACAAGAGCAUCAGAUGUUACUUUGCUCACUGUUGAAGGCUGUGAAGAACAGAGGAAAACUAGGAAGAAAACCAAGCUGGGAAGGGCAAUGAAGGAAUGAGUUAGAGUUCAAAAGUAAAAGUAUGUUCCAUAUAAAAGAAAGAGUUCAGAGAGAAGUCUCCCUCUGUCACCCAGGCUGGAGUGCAGUGGCAUGAGCUUGACUCACUGCA